This 254-nucleotide ribosomal RNA is filed under the name uncultured bacterium. RNAcentral describes it as "partial 16S ribosomal RNA". It matches the Rfam family "Bacterial small subunit ribosomal RNA", at positions 15 to 252 of the family's 1533-position model. The record is from RNAcentral.
GAUCAUGGCUCAGGAUGAACGCUGGCGGCGUGCUUAACACAUGCAAGUCGAACGGGAAACUUUUCAUUGAAGCUUCGGCAGAUUUGGUCUGUUUCUAGUGGCGGACGGGUGAGUAACGCGUGGGUAACCUGCCUUAUACAGGGGGAUAACAACCAGAAAUGGUUGCUAAUACCGCAUAAGCGCACAGGACCGCAUGGUUCGGUGUGAAAAACUCCGGUGGUAUAAGAUGGACCCGCGUUGGAUUAGCUAGUUGG